Molecule: ribosomal RNA, 227 nt
Filed under: uncultured bacterium
Lineage: Bacteria
Description: partial 16S ribosomal RNA
Rfam family: Bacterial small subunit ribosomal RNA
Source: RNAcentral
AGUAACGCGUGAGGAACCUGCCUCAAAGAGGGGGACAACAGUUGGAAACGACUGCUAAUACCGCAUAAGCCCACGGCUCGGCAUCGAGCAGAGGGAAAAGGAGCAAUCCGCUUUGAGAUGGCCUCGCGUCCGAUUAGCUAGUUGGUGAGGUAAUGGCCCACCAAGGCAACGAUCGGUAGCCGGACUGAGAGGGUGAUCGGCCACAUUGGGACUGAGACACGGCCCAA